GCUCCUCCUCUUCCUCCUGGGCCGCGCGGUGGACGGACGCGCGGGCUGUGCGGGCGUUGUGCAGAUUUGGAGAAAUCGUGAAAUGAAAUGGCGCAGAGGGACGCAGCAGCUAGCGUUUCUGUGGGGGAACGCGAGUGCAAUGUCCCGCGUUAUUAUUCAUCAGCUGGAUGCCCCCUGACGGGCGAUGCUGUCCUCCGGCCAUCGCGGUGUAGUCGUGGCUCCGGGUUCGACAGGAAGGUAUGCAGUCUUAAUGGUUUUGUAUCCCCUUAAAGCUUUGCCCAUUUAAGGCUGUCAGUGUCUUGGGUGGCCAACACAGGGGGGAACAGCACUCCUCUCUUAAACCCGAAGCAGAGGUGCCGUCUCUGGUUCGGAUCCUGUCGGGAGGAACACAU
Lepisosteus oculatus (spotted gar) is the source of this 392-nucleotide non-coding RNA. Lineage: Eukaryota; Metazoa; Chordata; Actinopteri; Semionotiformes; Lepisosteidae. The record is from RefSeq and is a predicted model, not a curated record.